RNAcentral lists this ribosomal RNA (253 nucleotides) under uncultured bacterium. Its description in RNAcentral is "partial 16S ribosomal RNA". It matches the Rfam family "Bacterial small subunit ribosomal RNA", at positions 524 to 776 of the family's 1533-position model. The record is from RNAcentral.
UACAGAGGGUGCGAGCGUUGUCCGGAAUCACUGGGCGUAAAGGGCGCGUAGGUGGCGCUCCAAGUCUGUGGUGAAAGCUCGAUGCUCAACAUCGAGUCGGCCAUAGAGACUGGAGGGCUCGAGCACUGUAGGGGCAGAUGGAAUUCCGGGUGUAGCGGUGGAAUGCGUAGAGAUCGGGAGGAACACCAGUGGCGAAGGCGGCUCGCUGGGCCGGUCCUGACGCUGAGACGCGAAGGCGUGGGGAGCGAACGGG